AUUGAACGCUGGCGGUAUGCUUAACACAUGCAAGUCGAACGGAAACGACAGGGAGCUUGCUCCUUGGGCGUCGAGUGGCGGAUGGGUGAGUAAUACAUAGGAAUCUGCCUUUUAGUUUGGGAUAACUGUCCGAAAGGAUGGCUAAUACCGGAUAUUGACUACGGUUGAAAGGGGGCUCUUUGAGCUCUCGCUAAAAGAUGAGCCUAUGUGGGAUUAGCUUGUUGGUAGGGUAAAGGCCUACCAAGGCGACGAUCUCUAGCUGGUUUGAGAGGAUGACCAGCCACACUGGGACUGAGACACGGCCCAGACUCCUACGGGAGGCAGCAGUGGGAAUCUUGGACAAUGGGGGGCAACCCUGAUCCAGCAAUACCGCGUGUGUGAAGAAGGCCCUCGGGUUGUAAAGCACUUUUGUCAGGGAGAAUGGUAAUUGUAAUUAAUACCUGCAGUUACUGAUGUUACCUGAAGAAUAAGCACCGGCUAACUCCGUGCCAGCAGCCGC
Molecule: ribosomal RNA, 499 nt
Filed under: uncultured Gammaproteobacteria bacterium
Lineage: Bacteria; Pseudomonadati; Pseudomonadota; Gammaproteobacteria
Description: bacterial SSU rRNA
Rfam family: Bacterial small subunit ribosomal RNA
Source: RNAcentral